This 354-nucleotide long non-coding RNA is filed under the name Malus domestica (apple). Its description in RNAcentral is "long non-coding RNA (MDOM_LNC019481)". Lineage: Eukaryota; Viridiplantae; Streptophyta; Magnoliopsida; Rosales; Rosaceae. The record is from RNAcentral.
UUCAAUUCUCCCUUUAGUGAUUACACACGUUUAGGGCUUCCACAAACCAUGAAUGACACCUAGCAGCAUAUCAUGGUUACCCAAGCUAAUCAGAAGAGGUGGAGAACCUAUUCAGUUCGGGAUUACAAAUGCAAUACGGUCCUUCUCUAAUCUAAUACUCUUGACCACAUUGUUUGGCAUGAUAGUUUAUUUACUCAUGUCUACUAUCCAAUGUGAAUCGUUUGCUUAUAUGAUUUCCUUGAAUGUGAUUUGGAACGCAUUCCCCAAUCUCAUUCAUACUAUGGCCAGAGAUUCCAAAUCAUAUCAUAGAGUAUUCUCCCUCAACUGUUUGAAGGUUAGAGAUCCCUUGUUGCG